ACCAGUAAAGGCCAAAACACGGGUAACCGUGUGACGGAAAGCCUACGGGUCCACGAGACGGAUUCGAUUUUUGACGGAGACCAAGGCGGCGAGGAGGAGGCGACGGAGGCGUACCUGAAGGUACGUUGAGGAGCCCCGCACGAGCCAACGCCGGUAUACGUCAGAAGGCGAAUCCGGCCGAUGGAUGGCCGGGUUGCCUGG
RNAcentral lists this non-coding RNA (201 nucleotides) under Geobacter metallireducens. Its description in RNAcentral is "c-di-GMP sequence". The stretch from base 1 to 85 matches the Rfam family "c-di-GMP-I riboswitch aptamer". The record is from RNAcentral. Lineage: Bacteria; Pseudomonadati; Thermodesulfobacteriota; Desulfuromonadia; Geobacterales; Geobacteraceae.